Molecule: ribosomal RNA, 157 nt
Filed under: Dirina ceratoniae
Lineage: Eukaryota; Fungi; Ascomycota; Arthoniomycetes; Arthoniales; Roccellaceae
Description: 5.8S ribosomal RNA
Rfam family: 5.8S ribosomal RNA
About the family: 5.8S ribosomal RNA (5.8S rRNA) is a component of the large subunit of the eukaryotic ribosome. It is transcribed by RNA polymerase I as part of the 45S precursor that also contains 18S and 28S rRNA.
Source: RNAcentral
AAACUUUCAACAACGGAUCUCUUGGUUCUGGCAUCGAUGAAGAACGCAGCGAAAUGCGAUAAGUAAUGUGAAUUGCAGAAUUCAGUGAAUCAUCGAAUCUUUGAACGCAUCUUGCACCCUCCGGUAUCCCGGUGGGUAUGCCUGUUCGAGCGUCAUU